GUAACGCGUAGGAAUCUACCAAAUAGUGGGGGACAACUCGAGGAAACUCGAGCUAAUACCGCAUAAUCCCUCCGGGGGAAAGCAGGGGAUCUUCGGACCUUGUGCUAUUUGAUGAGCCUGCGUAGGAUUAGCUUGUUGGUGAGGUAAAGGCUCACCAAGGCGACGAUCCUUAGCUGGUCUGAGAGGAUGAUCAGCCACACUGGGACUGAGACACGGCCCAGACUCCUACGGGAGGCAGCAGUGGGGAAUAUUGGACAAUGGGGGAAACCCUGAUCCAGCAAUGCAGCGUGUGUGAAGAAGGUCUUCGGAUUGUAAAGCACUUUCAGUAGGAAAGAAAAAAUAUUGGCUAAUACCUAAUAUCUUGACGUUACCUACAGAAGAAGCACUGGCUAACUCUGUGCCAGCAGCCGCGGUAAUACAGAGAGUGCGAGCGUUAAUCGGAAUUACUGGGCGUAAAGCGCGCGUAGGUGGAUAAUUAAGUCGGAUGUGAAAUCCCUGGGCUCAACCUAGGAACUGCAUCCGAAACUGAUUAUCUAGAGUAUGGUAGAGGGAAGUGGAAUUUCCGGUGUAGCGGUGAAAUGCGUAGAUAUCGGAAGGAACAUCAGUGGCGAAGGCGACUUCCUGGACCAAUACUGACACUGAGGUG
Molecule: ribosomal RNA, 646 nt
Filed under: uncultured bacterium
Lineage: Bacteria
Description: bacterial SSU rRNA
Rfam family: Bacterial small subunit ribosomal RNA
Source: RNAcentral